Molecule: transfer RNA, 70 nt
Filed under: Peucedramus taeniatus (olive warbler)
Lineage: Eukaryota; Metazoa; Chordata; Aves; Passeriformes; Fringillidae
Description: tRNA-Pro
Rfam family: tRNA
About the family: Transfer RNA (tRNA) molecules are approximately 80 nucleotides in length.
Source: RNAcentral
CAGGAAGNAGUUUAGUUGAAAAUACCAGCUUUGGGAGCUGGUGACGGAGGUUUGAAUCCUUUCUUCCUGA